RNAcentral lists this ribosomal RNA (508 nucleotides) under uncultured Glomus. Its description in RNAcentral is "SSU rRNA". It matches the Rfam family "Eukaryotic small subunit ribosomal RNA", at positions 569 to 1078 of the family's 1831-position model. Lineage: Eukaryota; Fungi; Glomeromycota; Glomeromycetes; Glomerales; Glomeraceae. The record is from RNAcentral.
AGCAGCCGCGGUAAUUCCAGCUCCAAUAGCGUAUAUUAAAGUUGUUGCAGUAAAAAAGCUCGUAGUUGAAUUUCGGGGUUAGUAGGUUGGUCAUGCCUCUGGUAUGUACUGGUCUCACUGAUUCCUCCUUCCUGAUGAACCUUAAUGCCAUUAAUUUGGUGUUUUGGGGAAUUUGGACUGUUACUUUGAAAAAAUUAGAGUGUUUAAAGCAAGCUAACGCUUGAAUACAUUAGCAUGGAAUAAUGAAAUAGGACGUUCGAUCCUAUUUUGUUGGUUUCUAGGAUUGACGUAAUGAUUAAUAGGGAUAGUUGGGGGCAUUAGUAUUCAAUUGUCAGAGGUGAAAUUCUUGGAUUUAUUGAAGACUAACUACUGCGAAAGCAUUUGCCAAGGAUGUUUUCAUUAAUCAAGAACGAAAGUUAGGGGAUCGAAGACGAUCAGAUACCGUCGUAGUCUUAACCAUAAACUAUGCCGACUAGGGAUCGGAUGAUGUUAAUUUUUUAAUGACUCA